This 219-nucleotide long non-coding RNA is filed under the name Rattus norvegicus (Norway rat). RNAcentral describes it as "long non-coding RNA NONRATT000858". Lineage: Eukaryota; Metazoa; Chordata; Mammalia; Rodentia; Muridae. The record is from RNAcentral.
CAAGUCCCCCUACUGCUGCCCGGAGUGUGGUGUCCUCUGUCGCUCUGCUUACUUCCAGACUCAUGUAAAGGAGAAUUGCCUGCACUAUGCCCGAAAAGUGGGCUACAGGUGGGUGCUACCUGGCUUACUGUCCUGGUAUUGCCCAAUGGCAGGUCCUUUUACUAGGCUGAAACUUGUUUUAUACUGAGAACCCAAUGUGUGUGUUGGGGUUGGGGGGUU